RNAcentral lists this small nucleolar RNA (107 nucleotides) under Setaria italica (foxtail millet). Its description in RNAcentral is "Plant small nucleolar RNA R71". It matches the Rfam family "Plant small nucleolar RNA R71". From Rfam's summary of the family: R71 is a member of the C/D box family of snoRNAs containing the C (UGAUGA) and D (CUGA) box motifs. RNAcentral also lists the same sequence under 1 other name. Lineage: Eukaryota; Viridiplantae; Streptophyta; Magnoliopsida; Poales; Poaceae. The record is from Rfam by way of RNAcentral.
AACUUGUGAUGUGGAACUGCAUGGACAUAGUCAUUGAAACACUCGUAGGCUUCUACAAUUGUCUCAGUAGGAUACUGAGAAAAUGUAGCAAUCUUGUUCCUCAGAUU